UAAGACAUGCAAGUCGAACGGAAGUCGUUACAACGGAAGUGGAUUGAAGAUUAUUGGAUUGAAGCAGAAGAUGUAACAAUGGCUUUAGUGGCGGACUGGUGAGUAACACGUAAGCAAUCUGCCUAUUAGAGGGGGAAUAACAAUGAGAAAUCAUUGCUAAUACCGCAUAAGCUUGUAGGAUCGCAUGAUCCAGCAAGAAAGGAGCAAUCCGCUAAUAGAUGAGCUUGCGGCUGAUUAGCUAGUUGGUUAGGUAACGGCUGACCAAGGCAACGAUCAGUAGCCGGGCUGAGAGGCUCUGCGGCCACAUUGGGACUGAGAUACGGCCCAGACUCCUACGGGAGGCAGCAGUCGGGAAUAUUGCGCAAUGGAGGAAACUCUGACGCAGUGACGCCGCGUAUAGGAAGAAGGUUUUAGGAUUGUAAACUAUUUUAGACAGGGAAGAAAAAUGACAGUACCUGUAGAAUAAGCUCCGGCUAACUACGUGCCAGCCGCAGC
Molecule: ribosomal RNA, 495 nt
Filed under: uncultured bacterium
Lineage: Bacteria
Description: bacterial SSU rRNA
Rfam family: Bacterial small subunit ribosomal RNA
Source: RNAcentral